GCCGACUUAGCUCAGUUGGUAGAGCAACUGAUUUGUAAUCAGUGGGUCGAGGGUUCAAAUCCUUUAGUCGGCAUCA
This 76-nucleotide transfer RNA is filed under the name Dolosigranulum pigrum. Its description in RNAcentral is "tRNA-Thr". It matches the Rfam family "tRNA". From Rfam's summary of the family: Transfer RNA (tRNA) molecules are approximately 80 nucleotides in length. Their secondary structure includes four short double-helical elements and three loops (D, anti-codon, and T loops). Lineage: Bacteria; Bacillati; Bacillota; Bacilli; Lactobacillales; Carnobacteriaceae. RNAcentral also lists the same sequence under 1 other name. The record is from RNAcentral.